AUUAUGAUUGCCAUAAAAUUAGCUCAAUGUCGAUCAAGUUGAAAUUGUUUGCAGAGGAACUAGGCUGCUGCUAAAACUAUAAAUUCUUAUCAUCUUUUAAAAUUUUUAAAAUUCAGAUACUAUAACUAGCUACUUUUCUAUUUUGUGAAUUGGAUUUUCUUAUCAUCAGGCUGUGGUUUCCAAUCAUUUUUGAAGAAAGAUGAGGAGGUAUGUGGUUUGGAAAUUUCUCCACCCAACUUACUAGAAGUACAAGGGAAUUGGUCCAAGUUUGCAAGUAUGUUUGAGACAUGGAAUUGUGCCUAGAUGCAGGUUGGCAUCUGCGCUAAAUUUGUUUAGGAAGCAGAGUACAUGUUUUUUGGACAAAGAACACCCACGUUCCCGUGUUGUUCUUAUGAGAAUGUCAGGAGGGAGGAGUUAUUUUCACUUAUCAGUCAGUUUUUGAAGAUGGAAGGUAGUUAUCUGUGAUUUUUCCCACCAGAAUGCCAUAUAUUGCUCAGAAUGUGGAAAUGAAGCAUGCUGAAAACAGAGUGGCUUGUGCCAGGCUUGUAGAAAGUAGUAUGGAUGGAGAAGAAUUAGAGAGAAGCAUAGUAGCUGGUACUGGAAAGCUAUCAAGCGGGAAGAAUUUCUACAUCCUCGUUCAAAGGUUCCCACCAGAUCUUGCAAGGCCUUUGUAAAUUGGAAAACAGUUUAUACCUUUCCACUCAAGAACAAGAGAGACUCAUGAUACAACUGUGCUAACAGUUAGUCAUUCCAGAAAGCAGUGGUUUCCAAGCAAAAAAUGUAUGGAUGUUGAUGUGGUAGACAAUUGUUCUCUUAAGGAGUGAAGAUCAAUCUUCUAGAAAGCAAUAUGUGACAGAGUAAAUGAAGAGGAAGCAGGCAUCAUCUCGUUGGAAAAAGAACAACAUGGUUCCCUGUCAUUUUUGUGAGAAUGUCAAAAGGAAGAAAUUACUGUCACUCAGCAGGCAAGUUUCGCAGAUGAAGAUGGUCAUCAAUUAUAGUUAUUUUGCUCAUUAAUUUGCACUAGCAUUGAUGGAGGCUUCUCAAACAUCAUGUAGAAAAACUGAAAGUGUUAUGUUCUGUAGUGCUCGGAAUGCAGAAAUGAAGAAGAAGAGAAGAUUUGAUGAUGGAAGCUAGAUGUUGAAGAUGGCAGUAAUAGUCAUUCGGAAAGCAAAAGCAAAGCAUGUAGUGGGAUGGAAGAAAUUCAAAGAUUUUGUGCUGCAAGAAUAUGUAUUCACAUGCAAGGGUUUCUAAGCCCUCGUUCAAAGGUUCAAGGAAGCACUGCUGCUAGAUCAUGCAAUGCCUUUCUCAAUUGGACAAUGGACUAUAACUUUCCACCCAAAAAUAAGAGAGAUUCAUGAUGCACUUGUGCGAACAGUUGAUUAUUCAUGUAUUCACAUGCUAGGUGUUGAAUUUGUCAAGGAAGCAGCAGCUUUCGAGCUAAAGUGUAUGAAUGCAGUCUCGAUGGAUUAAAGGUUUCUUCUGAUCUGAUUUGCUUGAGACAAAGGAAAGCAUAUGAAGGAACCAUUUAGCUGGCAUGGCUGAGACCUGUAGCCAAUUUGGUUGAU
This is a non-coding RNA of Coffea arabica (coffee), 1565 nucleotides long. The record is from RefSeq and is a predicted model, not a curated record. NCBI's taxonomy places the organism in Eukaryota, Viridiplantae, Streptophyta, Magnoliopsida, Gentianales, Rubiaceae.